RNAcentral lists this ribosomal RNA (369 nucleotides) under uncultured bacterium. Its description in RNAcentral is "bacterial SSU rRNA". It matches the Rfam family "Bacterial small subunit ribosomal RNA", at positions 47 to 412 of the family's 1533-position model. The record is from RNAcentral.
CCUAACACAUGCAAGUCGAACGGUAACAGGAAGAAGCUUGCUUCUUUGCUGACGAGUGGCGGACGGGUGAGUAAUGUCUGGGAAACUGCCUGAUGGAGGGGGAUAACUACUGGAAACGGUAGCUAAUACCGCAUAACGUCGCAAGACCAAAGAGGGGGACCUUCGGGCCUCUUGCCAUCGGAUGUGCCCAGAUGGGAUUAGCUAGUAGGUGGGGUAACGGCUCACCUAGGCGACGAUCCCUAGCUGGUCUGAGAGGAUGACCAGCCACACUGGAACUGAGACACGGUCCAGACUCCUACGGGAGGCAGCAGUGGGGAAUAUUGCACAAUGGGCGCAAGCCUGAUGCAGCCAUGCCGCGUGUAUGAAGAA